Molecule: unclassified non-coding RNA, 221 nt
Filed under: rhizosphere metagenome
Description: partial ribosomal RNA internal transcribed spacer region
Source: RNAcentral
GUAGGUGAACCUGCGGAAGGAUCAUUAUUGAAAUAAACCUGAUGGGUUGUUGCUGGCUCUUCAGGGAGCACGUGCACACCUUGUCAUCUUUAUAUCUCCACCUGUGCACUUUUUGUAGACCUUUUUAGGUCUAUGUUGCUUCAUUUUACCCCAAUGUAUGUCAAUAGAAUGUUGUGCCUAUGUAAUAUAUACAACUUUCAGCAACGGAUCUCUUGGCUCUC